CCCUUUUUUAAAGUACAGGCAACUGAGUGAUUUAGGUCACACAGGUAUCCUGCAGUUAUGCUAUCAUAAAUAAAGUUUAAGUUUAUUAAAAUAUUCUAAGUAAUAAAAUAAGCAGUUAAACAGUUAUUCAUUUCGACUGAUAUGCAAAUACAACGCAUUGGCCGCUAAAGGGGUUAUUGCAAGUGAACUACAUUUACCAGACAGCAAAACGAUGUCCCACUGCUGCGCAAUCGCGUUCUUUUGCGUUUCUACGACUUGACGUCGUUUCUAUGUAACCGGAUCUGGCGUCUGUGUAGGAUUACGGCUGUUGCUUCAGCCUUCAGAAGAUGCCUGAAGUGAAGUCAAUGUUCAGAGAAGUUCUUCCCAAACAAGCUGUCUAUGGAGGAUGUGCCCACUAUGGUGCUGUGUAAACCAAAGCUACUGCCUCUAAAAUCAGUCACCCUGGAAAAACUGGAAAAG
This is a long non-coding RNA of Lepisosteus oculatus (spotted gar), 459 nucleotides long. RefSeq lists it as uncharacterized. NCBI's taxonomy places the organism in Eukaryota, Metazoa, Chordata, Actinopteri, Semionotiformes, Lepisosteidae. The record is from RefSeq and is a predicted model, not a curated record.